RNAcentral lists this unclassified non-coding RNA (207 nucleotides) under soil metagenome. RNAcentral's name for it is "partial contains 5.8S ribosomal RNA, internal transcribed spacer 2, and large subunit ribosomal RNA". The record is from RNAcentral.
AACCAUAGAAACCUGCGGAGUACCUGCGGAAGGAUCAUUACCGAGUUUACAACUCCCAAACCCCUGUGAACAUACCAAUUGUUGCCUCGGCGGAUCAGCCCGCUCCCGGUAAAACGGGACGGCCCGCCAGAGGACCCCUAAACUCUGUUUCUAUAUGUAACUUCUGAGUAAAACCAUAAAUAAAUCAAAACUUUUAGCAAUGGAUCU